Macaca mulatta (Rhesus monkey) is the source of this 417-nucleotide non-coding RNA. Lineage: Eukaryota; Metazoa; Chordata; Mammalia; Primates; Cercopithecidae. The record is from RefSeq and is a predicted model, not a curated record.
CUCGGUAGUGGCCACUGCGCAGACCAGACUUCGCUCGUUUUUGUGCGCCUCGCUCCGCUUUUCCUCCGCAACCAUGUUUGACAAACCCGAUAUGACUGAGAUUGAGAAAUUCGAUAAGUCGAAACUGAAGAAGACAGAGAUGCAAGAGAAAAAUCCACUGCCUUCCAAAGAAACGAUUGAACAGGAGAAGCAAGCAGGCGAAUCGUAAUGAGGCGUGUGCCGCCAAUAUGCACUGUACAUUCCACAAGCAUUGCCUUAUUUUACUUCUUUUAGCUGUUUAACUUUGUAAGAUGCAAAGAAGUUGGAUCAAGUUUAAAUGACUGUGCUGCCCCUUUCACAUCAAAGAACUACUGACAACGAAGGCCGCGCCUGCCUUUCCCAUCUGUCUAUCUGGCUGGCAGGGAAGGAAAGAACUUG